UACGUAGGGUGCGAGCGUUAAUCGGAAUUACUGGGCGUAAAGCGUGCGCAGGCGGUUUUGUAAGCCAGAUGUGAAAUCCCCGGGCUUAACCUGGGAUUGGCAUUUGGGACUGCAAGGCUCGAGUGCGGCAGAGGAGACUGGAAUUCCUGGUGUAGCAGUGAAAUGCGUAGAUAUCAGGAGGAACACCGAUGGCGAAGGCGGCAUCCUGGCCUGUUUCUUGACGCUGAGGCGCGAAAGCUAGGGGAGCAAACGGG
RNAcentral lists this ribosomal RNA (254 nucleotides) under uncultured bacterium. Its description in RNAcentral is "partial 16S ribosomal RNA". It matches the Rfam family "Bacterial small subunit ribosomal RNA", at positions 524 to 776 of the family's 1533-position model. The record is from RNAcentral.